UACGUUACAACAGACUGAGCAAAAGGAACGGACAAUACAACCCUCGAGGAAUUCCUUGCCGCAGAACCUCGUCUACCGAGUUCUUAGCCUGUUCGGAACCUCAACUUUUUAUUCCAAGUAUCGAAAAAAUAUUUCUGGCGUGGAUCGGUUGAAAUUAGUUUAACAGUUAUUUAAGCUGGAUCAAGUUGUUUGACUCAUCCUGCGUACAAGAAUUUUAAUAACGCAAUUGCAAGUGCCUCGAACGACGAGGUGUGAACGAGGAGUGUCUGAAACAGCCGACGGCAAAACGAGAGCUAACCCCGCGUGCUGAGCGUCAUCGUUCCGCGGUAGCAACGUCGUGAUUUACCUACUUAAAACGCGCAUUGGCUUGGUAAACUUCUUUAAUGCACAACGGCCACGUUGUCUUCGUGGCUGCGGCCAAUUAGCCGGGAAUCAUGUAGCGAGAAUCGCGGUGAGCGUGAACGGGAACGAGACGGCCGUCGGCUAAACAAACCAAGCAAGAGAGAGAUCGCACCGCACGUGAAUAAGAUCCAUUUACACCGAGACCUUAGGCGCAACCUUUGAGCACGCGCUACGGGGUUAUUCCCUCGUCCCACGAAGUUGGAUAGAAACCGCCGGGAUCGGUGUUUCAUCUACGCUCGCCACGCCCCCCUGUCCAAUUAUUUGCAGUAUUUCCGAUUAACGCUUUACGCGAUGCCCUCGAAACGAGUCCAUUUAGAAUGUACAUUUCCAUAUAUCUUUCGUGGAUAAUCGCAGAAAAUUCGACCGAGCGGCGUAAAUAUUUUCGUUGCUCGAAUCGCAAAGCGAAAAACCGAUUCUCACGGAAGUCGUUCGGGUGGAGGACACCGACGCGACUGAAACAGCUUCUUCGCGGACGGAGAGACGCAGAAGGAACUUCAAGGGGUGCAAGGGCAAUUGGUUACCUUUGACGGUCGUUCACAGAGAACAAUAGGACGAAUAACUGGAGGGUACCGAAAUUCUAGGUGUACACGUGUCCGUAGACCCCGACAACAGCUGGAAAUCCACACGGAAAUGAUCAGGGUCGACGGGUAGUCCGUGCACUUAACCUCAUGGCCACCAGAAAUCAAUCAAGUUCGAAAUCCGUUAUUGCACGUAUCAGUGGAUAGCGCCACGUCUAGGGAAGGGAGCAUUCCCUACUUUGGAAUAAUACCGAUAUAGACCACGAUCGGAAAACACGAUUUUCGAGGUGGCGGAUUAUUCUACGGGGCGAAACGGCCAGUGCUAGAUAAGGCAAUGAUCGAGAAACAGGUAUUGAAACGACAGCGAGAGAGCGCAUCGGUCAGCGCGAGAAAGAGAGCGGUAAGAGCGGCGGGGAACGAUACUGGACACUGCUAGACCCAUAUAAAGAAGAAGAACGAACCACUUAGAUCUCUCUUCGCCGUUGGUCCACGACUAACGCGACUGGAUACUGCGAGCUUUCCGUCGCUCACAGAACGUUCCAGCUAAAUGCACGCAGCGUAUUCGCCGAUUUUCGAUGGAUAAUAUUCGAAAAAAACUU
Molecule: long non-coding RNA, 1519 nt
Organism: Hylaeus volcanicus
Lineage: Eukaryota; Metazoa; Arthropoda; Insecta; Hymenoptera; Colletidae
Exons: 4
Source: RefSeq, a predicted model, not a curated record